UACGUAGGGCGCAAGCGUUAUCCGGAAUUAUUGGGCGUAAAGAGCUCGUAGGCGGUUUGUCGCGUCUGCUGUGAAAGACCGGGGCUCAACUCCGGUUCUGCAGUGGGUACGGGCAGACUAGAGUGCAGUAGGGGAGACUGGAAUUCCUGGUGUAGCGGUGAAAUGCGCAGAUAUCAGGAGGAACACCGAUGGCGAAGGCAGGUCUCUGGGCUGUAACUGACGCUGAGGAGCGAAAGCAUGGGGAGCAAACAGG
RNAcentral lists this ribosomal RNA (253 nucleotides) under uncultured bacterium. RNAcentral's name for it is "partial 16S ribosomal RNA". It matches the Rfam family "Bacterial small subunit ribosomal RNA", at positions 524 to 776 of the family's 1533-position model. The record is from RNAcentral.